CGCGUGGAGCAUGUGGCUUAAUUUGACUCAACGCGGGAAAUCUUACCGGGUCCGGACAUAUCGAGGAUUGACAGACAGUUACCAUGCCCUUUCGAAAGGAGUCAGGUUUUAAACCUAAUGGCUCUUUCAUGAUUAUAUGAUAGGUGGUGCAUGGCCGUUCUUAGUUCGUGGAGUGAUCUGUCUGCUUAAUUGCGUUUCAAAUUUUUAUUUGAGGACCAGGUUUUGGUUUGGGUAGUGGUCCUACGAUGACUGUGAACUGUCAUGUCUUCGGAUGUGCGACUAUCGGUCUAGGAUCGCAUCUCAGCCCCUGGGACUCUUUUGAACGCAACGGACGUGAUUGCAACCCCUUGUUGAGAUUAGAGGAGUCUCGAUAUUCAUUGGCCAAACUUACCGCUUCGAGCUUGCUCGUGCAGUUUUGUUAGCCGGUGGAUAAACUCGGGGGACUGCUGACUAUAACCAUUUCUCAAAACAGAGGAAGGU
RNAcentral lists this ribosomal RNA (480 nucleotides) under Globigerinoides ruber. RNAcentral's name for it is "bacterial SSU rRNA". It matches the Rfam family "Eukaryotic small subunit ribosomal RNA", at positions 1174 to 1430 of the family's 1831-position model. Lineage: Eukaryota; Foraminifera; Rotaliida; Globigerinidae. The record is from RNAcentral.